UACAGAGGGUGCGAGCGUUAAUCGGAAUUACUGGGCGUAAAGCGCGCGUAGGCGGUUUGUUAAGUCGGAUGUGAAAUCCCCCGGGCUCAACCUGGAAUUGCAUUCGAUACUGGCAAGCUAGAGUAUGGGAGAGGAAGGUAGAAUUCCAGGUGUAGCGGUGAAAUGCGUAGAGAUCUGGAGGAAUACCGAUGGCGAAGGCAGCCUUCUGGCCUAAUACUGACGCUGAGGUGCGAAAGCAUGGGGAGCAAACAGGAUUAGAUACCCCCGUAGUCC
This 273-nucleotide ribosomal RNA is filed under the name uncultured bacterium. Its description in RNAcentral is "partial 16S ribosomal RNA". It matches the Rfam family "Bacterial small subunit ribosomal RNA", at positions 524 to 796 of the family's 1533-position model. The record is from RNAcentral.